RNAcentral lists this long non-coding RNA (510 nucleotides) under Ficedula albicollis (Collared flycatcher). RNAcentral's name for it is "lncRNA (ENSFALG00000018909.2)". The record is from RNAcentral. Lineage: Eukaryota; Metazoa; Chordata; Aves; Passeriformes; Muscicapidae.
AUGAAUCCAGGCAGUGGCACAGAGCAGAAUCCCCCAAGCAUGCCCAAGCUGGCCUUGGGGAAGGAGGAGAAAGAAGGCGCUGGAACUACCCCAGCACAGCAGCCUGAAGAGGUGCAGCAGUUCCAGCAGGAGGGUGCAGCCAUGGAGCGCACACGAGAGCAGCACCGCACCCGCGGCCUCUUCCGCUCAACAGCGCAGUUGGUUUGCAAAUUCAUGAAGAGAAUUCGCGAGGAAGAGACCGGCGUCAUGGGCACUGCGCUCAGAGCAUACUCUCCCAUCUUCAAAAGCAAGACCAGUGCUGCCCUGCUGGAUAUGCUUGUGCAGGAAGGUCCUUCCAAUGCAAAGCAAGUGCCCGCCAUGGUGAGGUACAUCCACCAGUGGCUCACGGCCAAUGAGAGGCCUGAGUACAAUGUGUACAGGCCCCUUCUGGACCUGACAGAGGCACAGCCCGCUGACGUGGUGAUGGCUCUCCUGCGUGCGGCCCCAUCGUGUGACAGGCGACUGUGGUGA